This 427-nucleotide ribosomal RNA is filed under the name uncultured bacterium. RNAcentral's name for it is "bacterial SSU rRNA". It matches the Rfam family "Bacterial small subunit ribosomal RNA", at positions 354 to 796 of the family's 1533-position model. The record is from RNAcentral.
GUCAAGAAUAUUCCCCAAUGGACGAAAGUCUGAGGGAGCGACGCCGCGUGAUCGAAGAAGCCCCUCGGGGUGUAAAGAUCUUUUCUCAGGGACGAAUCAAUGACGGUACCUGAGGAAUAAGAGGUUGCAAACUCUGUGCCAGCAGCAGCGGUAAUACAGAGACCUCAAGCGUUAUCCGGAUUUAUUGGGCGUAAAGCGUCUGUAGGCGUUUUAAUAAGUUUUACGUCAAAUCUUAGUGCUCAACGCUAAGACUGCGCAAAAUACUAUUAAAAUAGAGGCUGGGAGAGGCAGAUGGAAUUGCCGGUGUAGCGGUAAAAUGCGUUAAUAUCGGCAAGAACACCAAAUGCGAAGGCUUUCUGCUAGAACAGUUCUGACGCUGAGAGACGAAAGCGUGGGUAGCGAAUGGGAUUAGAAACCCCAGUAGUCC